This 253-nucleotide ribosomal RNA is filed under the name uncultured bacterium. RNAcentral's name for it is "partial 16S ribosomal RNA". It matches the Rfam family "Bacterial small subunit ribosomal RNA", at positions 524 to 776 of the family's 1533-position model. The record is from RNAcentral.
UACGAGGGGGGCGAGCGUUGUUCGGAAUUAUUGGGCGUAAAGGGUACGUAGGCGGGCUCGCAGGUCAGGGGUGAAAGCCCACGGCUCAACCGUGGAAGUGCCUUUGAUACCGUGAGUCUCGAGGGAGGUAGGGGCGUGCGGAACUUCCGGUGGAGCGGUGAAAUGCGUAGAUAUCGGAAGGAACAUCGGUGGCGAAAGCGGCGCGCUGGACCUCUUCUGACGCUGAGGCGCGAAAGCCAGGGGAGCAAACGGG